UACAGAGGGUGCGAGCGUUGUUCGGAAUUACUGGGCGUAAAGCGCACGCAGGCGGUCUGUGAAGUUUGGAGUGACAGUUGGUGGCUCAACCACCAAAGUGCUUUGAAAACUGAUAGACUUGAGGGCUUCAGAGGGACACGGAAUUCCGGGUGGAGUGGUGAAAUGCGUAGAUAUCAAGAGGAACACCUGAGGUGAAGACGGGUUGCUGGGCCGACACUGACGCUGACAGCGCGAAAGCCAGGGGAGCAAACGGG
RNAcentral lists this ribosomal RNA (254 nucleotides) under uncultured bacterium. Its description in RNAcentral is "partial 16S ribosomal RNA". It matches the Rfam family "Bacterial small subunit ribosomal RNA", at positions 524 to 776 of the family's 1533-position model. The record is from RNAcentral.